This 235-nucleotide long non-coding RNA is filed under the name Amborella trichopoda. Its description in RNAcentral is "long non-coding RNA (ATRI_LNC005520)". The record is from RNAcentral. Lineage: Eukaryota; Viridiplantae; Streptophyta; Magnoliopsida; Amborellales; Amborellaceae.
AAAUUAAGUUUUAGAGAGACAAACGAUAUCAUAUUUUAGAGAGAGAAACUAUAUCAAAUUUUAGAAAGAGAAAUUAUCUCAAAUUUAUCAAGUUUUAGAGGGAGAAACUGUCUCAAAUUUUAGGUUUUAGAGUGAGCAAGUACUUGAAAAUUUUUAGAGAGAGAAAAUAUCUCAAAACAUGUAGAAAGAGAAACUAUAUCAAUAGAAAGUAUGUCAAAUUUUUAAGUUUUAGAGA